This 320-nucleotide ribosomal RNA is filed under the name uncultured bacterium. Its description in RNAcentral is "bacterial SSU rRNA". It matches the Rfam family "Bacterial small subunit ribosomal RNA", at positions 28 to 339 of the family's 1533-position model. The record is from RNAcentral.
GACGAACGCUGGCGGCGUGCCUAACACAUGCAAGUCGAGCGGAGGUAGUUUGAUGGUAACUGAUGACUACUUUAGCGGCGGACGGGUGAGUAACACGUGGGCAACCUGCCUCAAAGAGGGGGAUAACACCGAGAAAUCGGUGCUAAUACCGCAUGAUAUUAAUGAAUGGCAUCAUUCUUUAAUCAAAGGAGAAAUCCGCUUUAAGAUGGGCUCGCGUCCGAUUAGGUAGUUGGUGAGGUAAUGGCCCACCAAGCCUACGAUCGGUAGCCGAACUGAGAGGUUGAUCGGCCACAUUGGGACUGAGAUACGGCCCAGACUCC